AAGCUCGUAGUUGAAUUUCGGGGUUAGUAGGUUGGUCAUGCCUCUGGUAUGUACUGGUCUCACUGAUUCCUCCUUCCUUAUGAACCGUAAUGCCAUUAAUUUGGUGUUGCGGGGAAUUUGGACUGUUACUUUGAAAAAAUUGAGUGUUUAAAGCAAGCUAACGCUUGAAUACAUUAGCAUGGAAUAAUAAAAUAGGACGUUCGAUCUUAUUUUGUUGGUUUCUAGGAUUGACGUAAUGAUUAAUAGGGAUAGUUGGG
RNAcentral lists this ribosomal RNA (257 nucleotides) under uncultured Glomus. RNAcentral describes it as "partial 18S ribosomal RNA". It matches the Rfam family "Eukaryotic small subunit ribosomal RNA", at positions 624 to 886 of the family's 1831-position model. The record is from RNAcentral. Lineage: Eukaryota; Fungi; Glomeromycota; Glomeromycetes; Glomerales; Glomeraceae.